RNAcentral lists this ribosomal RNA (355 nucleotides) under uncultured bacterium. RNAcentral describes it as "bacterial SSU rRNA". It matches the Rfam family "Bacterial small subunit ribosomal RNA", at positions 8 to 353 of the family's 1533-position model. The record is from RNAcentral.
AGAGUUUGAUCCUGGCUCAGGAUGAACGCUAGCUACAGGCUUAACACAUGCAAGUCGAGGGGCAGCAUGGUCUUAGCUUGCUAAGGCCGAUGGCGACCGGCGCACGGGUGAGUAACGCGUAUCCAACCUGCCUUACACUCUUGGACAGCCUUCUGAAAGGGAGAUUAAUACAAGAUGUUAUCAUGAGUAAGCAUUUUCGCAUGAUUAAAGGUUUACCGGUGUAAGAUGGGGAUGCGUUCCAUUAGAUAGUAGGCGGGGUAACGGCCCACCUAGUCUUCGAUGGAUAGGGGUUCUGAGAGGAAGGUCCCCCACAUUGGAACUGAGACACGGUCCAAACUCCUACGGGAGGGCAGCA